AUGGAGAGGCUCCUUCAUUGGGACUUCUCCCUGGGUUUGGAGAUUGAAUCUCACGUACGUGACAAGUUCAGAUCCACGGUGCACUUCUCGUUGACUCAUCCCGGAUCUUCUGAGGAAUUCUACCUGGUUGUUUCUUUCUCCUCGGCAUCCUUUCCAUUGACGGAGGAAUCGGUAGCUCUUGCCCUACAAUCUUGCAUUGGUGGUAUCAGUUCGGGUUUUAGGGUUUUGCGGUUAAGUGAUCGCCGUUUUCGGUUCUCUGUGGCUUCUAAUCAAGUGGGACAUUUUAUCUAUGGCCUUAAGGAUUGGAUUUGGCCGGAUUUUGUUUGUCAUUUUCACCUCUUUCGUGGUGAGAUUAAUUCAGCUUUUGAUCAUCCGGAUAAUGGUUGGCACGCGGAUUGUCAUCUUUCUGGGGUGGGGAUUAGAUCUGUAGCUAUUAAAUCUAAAUGGCUACAAGAUCAGCAAGACAAGAUUGUUCAAUCCACCUCGCAGGAGAUGAACUCUGAGAGAGAUCUGAUCACCAAUGACAUCUCCUUUGGAAAGUUUCAAUUUUCGAUUAUUUCGGAUCCUAUUUCUCAAAUUUGA
Molecule: ribosomal RNA, 582 nt
Filed under: Triticum aestivum (bread wheat)
Lineage: Eukaryota; Viridiplantae; Streptophyta; Magnoliopsida; Poales; Poaceae
Description: partial small subunit ribosomal RNA
Source: RNAcentral